UUAAGCGACUAAGCGUACACGGUGGAUGCCCUGGCAGUCAGAGGCGAUGAAGGACGUGCUAAUCUGCGAAAAGCGUCGGUAAGGUGAUAUGAACCGUUACAGCCGGCGAUGUCCGAAUGGGGAAACCCAGUGUGAUUCGUCACACUAUCGUUAACUGAAUACAUAGGUUAACGAGGCGAACCGGGGGAACUGAAACAUCUAAGUACCCCGAGGAAAAGAAAUCAACCGAGAUUCCCCCAGUAGCGGCGAGCGAACGGGGAGCAGCCCAGAGUCUGAAUCAGCUUGUGUGUUAGUGGAACGGUCUGGAAAGUCCGACGGUACAGGGUGAUAGUCCCGUACACCAAAAUGCACAGGCUGUGAACUCGAAGAGUAGGGCGGGACACGUGGUAUCCUGUCUGAAUAUGGGGGGGCCAUCCUCCAAGGCUAAAUACUCCUGACUGACCGAUAGUGAACCAGUACCGUGAGGGAAAGGCGAAAAGAACCCCGGCGAGGGGAGUGAAAAAGAACCUGAAACCGUGUACGUACAAGCAGUGGGAGCACCUUCGGGUGUGACUGCGUACCUUUUGUAUAAUGGGUCAGCGACUUAUAUUCUGUAGCAAGGUUAACCGUAUAGGGGAGCCGCAGGGAAACCGAGUCUUAACUGGGCGUUAAGUUGCAGGGUAUAGACCCGAAACCCGGUGAUCUAGCCAUGGGCAGGUUGAAGGUUGGGUAACACUAACUGGAGGACCGAACCGACUAAUGUUGAAAAAUUAGCGGAUGACUUGUGGCUGGGGGUGAAAGGCCAAUCAAACCGGGAGAUAGCUGGUUCUCCCCGAAAGCUAUUUAGGUAGCGCCUCGUGAAUUCAUCUUCGGGGGUAGAGCACUGUUUCGGCUAGGGGGUCAUCCCGACUUACCAACCCGAUGCAAACUACGAAUACCGAAGAAUGUUAUCACGGGAGACACACGGCGGGUGCUAACGUCCGUCGUGAAGAGGGAAACAACCCAGACCGCCAGCUAAGGUCCCAAAGUCACAGUUAAGUGGGAAACGAUGUGGGAAGGCACAGACAGCCAGGAUGUUGGCUUAGAAGCAGCCAUCAUUUAAAGAAAGCGUAAUAGCUCACUGGUCGAGUCGGCCUGCGCGGAAGAUGUAACGGGGCUAAACUGUGCACCGAAGCUGCGGCAGCGACACUAUGUGUUGUUGGGUAGGGGAGCGUUCUGUAAGCCUGCGAAGGUGGCCUGUGAGGGUUGCUGGAGGUAUCAGAAGUGCGAAUGCUGACAUAAGUAACGAUAAUGCGGGUGAAAAGCCCGCACGCCGGAAGACCAAGGGUUCCUGUCCAACGUUAAUCGGGGCAGGGUGAGUCGACCCCUAAGGCGAGGCCGAAAGGCGUAGUCGAUGGGAAACAGGUUAAUAUUCCUGUACUUGGUGUUACUGCGAAGGGGGGACGGAGAAGGCUAUGUUAGCCGGGCGACGGUUGUCCCGGUUUAAGCAUGUAGGCGGAGGUUCCAGGUAAAUCCGGUACCUUUUUAACGCUGAGGUGUGAUGACGAGGCACUACGGUGCUGAAGUAACAAAUGCCCUGCUUCCAGGAAAAGCCUCUAAGCAUCAGGUAACAUUGAAUCGUACCCCAAACCGACACAGGUGGUCAGGUAGAGAAUACCAAGGCGCUUGAGAGAACUCGGGUGAAGGAACUAGGCAAAAUGGUGCCGUAACUUCGGGAGAAGGCACGCUGAUAUGUAGGUGAAGCCCCUGCGGGUGGAGCUGAAAUCAGUCGAAGAUACCAGCUGGCUGCAACUGUUUAUUAAAAACACAGCACUGUGCAAACACGAAAGUGGACGUAUACGGUGUGACGCCUGCCCGGUGCCGGAAGGUUAAUUGAUGGGGUUAUCCGUAAGGAGAAGCUCUUGAUCGAAGCCCCGGUAAACGGCGGCCGUAACUAUAACGGUCCUAAGGUAGCGAAAUUCCUUGUCGGGUAAGUUCCGACCUGCACGAAUGGCGUAAUGAUGGCCAGGCUGUCUCCACCCGAGACUCAGUGAAAUUGAACUCGCUGUGAAGAUGCAGUGUACCCGCGGCAAGACGGAAAGACCCCGUGAACCUUUACUAUAGCUUGACACUGAACAUUGAGCCUUGAUGUGUAGGAUAGGUGGGAGGCUUUGAAGCGUGGACGCCAGUCUGCGUGGAGCCAACCUUGAAAUACCACCCUUUAAUGUUUGAUGUUCUAACGUUGGCCCCUUAUCGGGGUUGCGGACAGUGUCUGGUGGGUAGUUUGACUGGGGCGGUCUCCUCCCAAAGAGUAACGGAGGAGCACGAAGGUUAGCUAAUCCUGGUCGGACAUCAGGAGGUUAGUGCAAUGGCAUAAGCUAGCUUGACUGCGAGCGUGACGGCGCGAGCAGGUGCGAAAGCAGGUCAUAGUGAUCCGGUGGUUCUGAAUGGAAGGGCCAUCGCUCAACGGAUAAAAGGUACUCCGGGGAUAACAGGCUGAUACCGCC
This 2465-nucleotide ribosomal RNA is filed under the name Klebsiella aerogenes MGH 77. RNAcentral describes it as "bacterial LSU rRNA". It matches the Rfam family "Bacterial large subunit ribosomal RNA", at positions 1 to 2492 of the family's 2925-position model. The record is from RNAcentral. Lineage: Bacteria; Pseudomonadati; Pseudomonadota; Gammaproteobacteria; Enterobacterales; Enterobacteriaceae.